Molecule: transfer RNA, 72 nt
Filed under: Ovis aries (sheep)
Lineage: Eukaryota; Metazoa; Chordata; Mammalia; Artiodactyla; Bovidae
Rfam family: tRNA
About the family: Transfer RNA (tRNA) molecules are approximately 80 nucleotides in length. Their secondary structure includes four short double-helical elements and three loops (D, anti-codon, and T loops). Further hydrogen bonds mediate the characteristic L-shaped molecular structure. tRNAs have two regions of fundamental functional importance: the anti-codon, which is responsible for specific mRNA codon recognition, and the 3' end, to which the tRNAs corresponding amino acid is attached (by aminoacyl-tRNA synthetases). tRNAs cope with the degeneracy of the genetic code in two manners: having more than one tRNA (with a specific anti-codon) for a particular amino acid; and 'wobble' base-pairing, i.e. permitting non-standard base-pairing at the 3rd anti-codon position.
Source: Rfam by way of RNAcentral
UCCCUGGUGGCUCAGACAGUAAAGUGUCUGCCUGCCAUGCAGGAGACCUGGGUUCUAUCCCCGGAUUGGGAA